Non-coding RNA from Oncorhynchus mykiss (rainbow trout), 1023 nucleotides. NCBI's taxonomy places the organism in Eukaryota, Metazoa, Chordata, Actinopteri, Salmoniformes, Salmonidae. The record is from RefSeq and is a predicted model, not a curated record.
CUCGGGAGCUGAGUGGCCUCGGGAGCUGAGUGGCCUCGGGAGCUGCACGGCCUCGGGAGCUGAGCGGCCUCGGGAGCUGCGCGGCCUCGGGAGCUGCACGGACAAACUGACCUACUCACAAAGACAAUACCCUUUGACCGGGUGAUGCUCCUGAGACGGCUGAAGGAGGAAGAGUUAAUUGUCCUAAAGGAAGUCCAGUAGCACUGGGAAAGCCUAAAGAGGGAAUCGGAGAAUGUGCAAGACCUUGCUUCACAUGUGACACUUAACCUAAGCAGGCAAAGUAGGGAACGUUCAUUGAUAUGUACAUUUUAUGUUGGCACCCUGUAAUUGAUAUUGUAUUUAAGGAAUACUUCAUUGUAUUUACCCGACACAUUACGAUUGUUGGUGUUAGGCUGACAAUUUAAUCAGUCGGAAGCUGGGAGCAGAGGUCUCUUCUCCAUGCUUCAGAGGAGAGUCAGCAGCCUCAGAAGACACCAGGACUCUGUCAAACUGAUAUACAGCAAAGCUAUGGGCCAAGACACCUCCCUCCUAGAAGAUAACUUCAUAGAUGACCUCCUGAAAGAGGACCUAGAUGACAGCAUCCACUACAGCUCUGAUGACGAGGAAUCUGUCCCAGACUGACGGUGUUCGUUUGGGUGGGUGCAGUUUGCAUUGGGUGGAAAGUGAUUCCAUUUGUUUUGUAGAUGUGCUUUAUCUACCUUCCUAAGGAAAAAUAGUUUUAACAUUUUAUGGAAAAUAAAGGUUUAUGUUUCUUCCUUGUUGACAAUGUGAUCAUGUGGUACAGAUUUGAGAAGGGCGCUCGUCUGUUACUGCUUUUGCCCGAUCACAUGACCAGGUCACAUGACCAGGUCCGAUCCCUUUAAAUGACCAAUCUGCAGUUGAUACAUCCACUUAUGGAUGCUUGAAGAAUAUCAUUUAUAAAUGCCUCAUGAAUAUAGUUCAACUGCCGUACCCCAUCAGAUCCCAAAAUAGAUGUUUUUGUUCUACUCCAAUGUUUGUAAACAAAGUAAAUGUAAACAUUCA